Gossypium arboreum is the source of this 87-nucleotide non-coding RNA. NCBI's taxonomy places the organism in Eukaryota, Viridiplantae, Streptophyta, Magnoliopsida, Malvales, Malvaceae. The record is from Rfam.
UUUGAGAGAGUGUUUUGUUCACGUCAGCACAAAGCGUUUCCUUGAGGGCGCGCUUUGUGUUGACGUGGACAAAACGCUCCCCCAAGG